Molecule: non-coding RNA, 31 nt
Filed under: Rattus norvegicus (Norway rat)
Lineage: Eukaryota; Metazoa; Chordata; Mammalia; Rodentia; Muridae
Source: RNAcentral
UGGGCCUUGCUUUCAGAAGAGAACCCUCCUU